Molecule: ribosomal RNA, 251 nt
Filed under: uncultured bacterium
Lineage: Bacteria
Description: partial 16S ribosomal RNA
Rfam family: Bacterial small subunit ribosomal RNA
Source: RNAcentral
AACGGGUGAGUAACACGUGGGUGAUCUACCUUCGAGCGGGGGAUAACGUUCCGAAAGGAACGCUAAUACCGCAUGACGUCCUGGGUUUGAAGACCUGGAGACCAAAGCUAGGGACCGCAAGGCCUGGCACUUGAAGAGGAGCCUGCGCCCGAUUAGCUAGUUGGCGGGGUAACGGCCCACCAAGGCAACGAUCGGUAGCCGGCCUGAGAGGGCGGACGGCCACACUGGGACUGAGACACGGCCCAGACUCC